This 144-nucleotide unclassified non-coding RNA is filed under the name uncultured fungus. Its description in RNAcentral is "sequence contains ITS1, 5.8S rRNA gene". RNAcentral also lists the same sequence under 1 other name. The record is from RNAcentral. Lineage: Eukaryota; Fungi.
UCAGUGAUGGGGGGCGUCCGCGCUCCCGUCCUCAACCCUUUGUUGACCAAACCACUUUUGCCUCGGGGGCAGAGCGGCCUCCGCCGCCCCCGGUGGACCAUUCAACCCUGUCUCUGUACGUCGGAGUCUUUGAUGAAUAAAUGA